GAGGGUGUAGCUCAGUGGUAGAGCACACGCUUAGCAUGUAUGAGGUCCUGGGUUCAAGCCCCAGUACCUCCA
RNAcentral lists this transfer RNA (72 nucleotides) under Camelus bactrianus (Bactrian camel). It matches the Rfam family "tRNA". Rfam says of the family: Transfer RNA (tRNA) molecules are approximately 80 nucleotides in length. Their secondary structure includes four short double-helical elements and three loops (D, anti-codon, and T loops). Lineage: Eukaryota; Metazoa; Chordata; Mammalia; Artiodactyla; Camelidae. The record is from Rfam by way of RNAcentral. RNAcentral also lists the same sequence under 2 other names.